GCCUGGAUGGCUCAGUCGGUUGAACAUCUGACUUUGGCUCAGGUCAUGAUCUCACAGUUCGCGGGUUUGAGCCCCGCUUCAGGCU
This 85-nucleotide transfer RNA is filed under the name Felis catus (domestic cat). It matches the Rfam family "tRNA". From Rfam's summary of the family: Transfer RNA (tRNA) molecules are approximately 80 nucleotides in length. Their secondary structure includes four short double-helical elements and three loops (D, anti-codon, and T loops). Further hydrogen bonds mediate the characteristic L-shaped molecular structure. tRNAs have two regions of fundamental functional importance: the anti-codon, which is responsible for specific mRNA codon recognition, and the 3' end, to which the tRNAs corresponding amino acid is attached (by aminoacyl-tRNA synthetases). tRNAs cope with the degeneracy of the genetic code in two manners: having more than one tRNA (with a specific anti-codon) for a particular amino acid; and 'wobble' base-pairing, i.e. permitting non-standard base-pairing at the 3rd anti-codon position. The record is from Rfam by way of RNAcentral. RNAcentral also lists the same sequence under 1 other name. Lineage: Eukaryota; Metazoa; Chordata; Mammalia; Carnivora; Felidae.